Molecule: ribosomal RNA, 658 nt
Filed under: uncultured bacterium
Lineage: Bacteria
Description: bacterial SSU rRNA
Rfam family: Bacterial small subunit ribosomal RNA
Source: RNAcentral
GCUUGCUAUUUAAUCUUAGUGGCGCACGGGUGAGUAAUAUAUAGCUAACUUGCCCAUUACUAAGGGACAACAGUUGGAAACGACUGCUAAUACCUUAUACUCCGUAUCUAUAUAAGUAGAUACGGGAAAGUUUUUCGGUAAUGGAUAGGGCUAUAUCGUAUCAGCUAGUUGGUAAGGUAAUGGCUUACCAAGGCUAUGACGCGUAACUGGUCUGAGAGGAUGAUCAGUCACACUGGAACUGAGACACGGUCCAGACUCCUACGGGAGGCAGCAGUAGGGAAUAUUGCUCAAUGGGGGAAACCCUGAAGCAGCAACGCCGCGUGGAGGAUGACACUUUUCGGAGCGUAAACUCCUUUUCUUGGGAAAGAAUUAUGACGGUACCCAAGGAAUAAGCACCGGCUAACUCCGUGCCAGCAGCCGCGGUAAUACGGAGGGUGCAAGCGUUACUCGGAAUCACUGGGCGUAAAGGACGCGUAGGCGGAUUAUCAAGUCUCUUGUGAAAUCUAACGGCUUAACCGUUAAACUGCUUGGGAAACUGAUAAUCUAGAGUAAGGGAGAGGCAGAUGGAAUUCUUGGUGUAGGGGUAAAAUCCGUAGAGAUCAAGAAGAAUACCCAUUGCGAAAGCGAUCUGCUGGAACUUAACUGACGCUAAUGCGUG